RNAcentral lists this ribosomal RNA (541 nucleotides) under uncultured bacterium. RNAcentral's name for it is "bacterial SSU rRNA". It matches the Rfam family "Bacterial small subunit ribosomal RNA", at positions 777 to 1320 of the family's 1533-position model. The record is from RNAcentral.
AAUAGAUACCCGGGUAGUCCACGCCGUAAACGAUGAAUACUAGGUGUAGGGGUUGUCAUGACCUCUGUGCCGCCGCUAACGCAUUAAGUAUUCCGCCUGGGGAGUACGGUCGCAAGAUUAAAACUCAAAGGAAUUGACGGGGGCCCGCACAAGCAGCGGAGCAUGUGGUUUAAUUCGAAGCAACGCGAAGAACCUUACCUAGACUUGACAUCUCCUGCAUUACCCUUAAUCGGGAAAGUUCCUUCGGGGACAGGAAGACAGGUGGUGCAUGGUUGUCGUCAGCUCGUGUCGUGAGAUGUUGGGUUAAGUCCCGCAACGAGCGCAACCCUUAUUGUUAGUUGCUACCAUUUAGUUGGGCACUCUAGCGAGACUGCCCGGGUUAACCGGGAGGAAGGUGGGGAUGACGUCAAAUCAUCAUGCCCCUUAUGUCUAGGGCUACACACGUGCUACAAUGGCAAGUACAAAGAGACGCAAUAUCGCGAGAUGGAGCAAAACUCAAAAACUUGUCUCAGUUCGGAUUGUAGGCUGAAACUCGCCUACA